GACGAACGCUGGCGGCGUGCUUAACACAUGCAAGUCGAACGGAAAGGCCCUGCUUUUGUGGGGUGCUCGAGUGGCGAACGGGUGAGUAACACGUGAGUAACCUGCCCUUGACUUUGGGGUAACUUCAGGAAACUGGGGCUAAUACCGGAUAGGAGCUCCUGCUGCAUGGUGGGGGUUGGAAAGUUUCGGCGGUUGGGGAUGGACUCGCGGCUUAUCAGCUUGUUGGUGGGGUAGUGGCUUACCAAGGCUUUGACGGGUAGCCGGCCUGAGAGGGUGACCGGCCACAUUGGGACUGCGAUACGGCCCAGACUCCUACGGGAGGCAGCAGUGGGGAAUAUUGCACAAUGGGAGGAAGCCUGAUGCAGCAACGCCGCGUGCGGGAUGACGGCCUUCGGGUUGUAAACCGCUUUCGCCUGUGACGAAGCGUGAGUGACGGUACUGGGUAAAGAAGCACCGGCUAACUACGUG
This 468-nucleotide ribosomal RNA is filed under the name uncultured bacterium. RNAcentral describes it as "partial 16S ribosomal RNA". It matches the Rfam family "Bacterial small subunit ribosomal RNA", at positions 28 to 507 of the family's 1533-position model. The record is from RNAcentral.